UACUAGAGACCGGCGCACGGGUGCGUAACGCGUAUGCAAUCUACCUUUUGCAGAGGGAUAGCCCAGAGAAAUUUGGAUUAAUACCUCAUAGUAUAACGACUCGGCAUCGAGAUGUUAUUAAAGUCACAACGGCAAAAGAUGAGCAUGCGUCCCAUUAGUUAGUUGGUAAGGUAACGGCUUACCAAGACUACGAUGGGUAGGGGUCCUGAGAGGGAGAUCCCCCACACUGGUACUGAGACACGGACCAGACUCCUACGGGAGGCAGCAGUGAGGAAUAUUGGACAAUGGGCGCAAGCCUGAUCCAGCCAUGCCGCGUGCAGGAUGACGGUCCUAUGGAUUGUAAACUGCUUUUGCACAGGAAGAAACAACGCUACGUGUAGCGUCUUGACGGUACUGUGAGAAUAAGGAUCGGCUAACUCCGUGCCAGCAGCCGCGGUAAUACGGAGGAUCCAAGCGUUAUCCGGAAUCAUUGGGUUUAAAGGGUCCGUAGGCGGUCUUAUAAGUCAGUGGUGAAAUCUCCCCGCUCAACGGGGAAACGGCCAUUGAUACUGUAGGACUUGAAUUAUUAGGAAGUAACUAGAAUAUGUAGUGUAGCGGUGAAAUGCUUAGAGAUUACAUGGAAUACCAAUUGCGAAGGCAGGUUACUACUAAUGGAUUGACGCUGAUGGACGAAAGCGUGGGUAGCGAACAGGAUUAGAUACCCUGGUAGUCCACGCCGUAAACGAUGGAUACUAGCUGUUGGGCGCAAGUUCAGUGGCUAAGCGAAAGUGAUAAGUAUCCCACCUGGG
RNAcentral lists this ribosomal RNA (788 nucleotides) under uncultured bacterium. Its description in RNAcentral is "bacterial SSU rRNA". It matches the Rfam family "Bacterial small subunit ribosomal RNA", at positions 86 to 877 of the family's 1533-position model. The record is from RNAcentral.